Molecule: ribosomal RNA, 331 nt
Filed under: uncultured bacterium
Lineage: Bacteria
Description: bacterial SSU rRNA
Rfam family: Bacterial small subunit ribosomal RNA
Source: RNAcentral
CGUGUAGGUGGUCAGGUAAGUCAGAUGUGAAAGCCUUCUGCUUAACAGAAGAAGUGCAUUUGAAACUGCUUGGCUAGAGUACGGGAGAGGAGAGUGGAAUUCCCGGUGUAGAGGUGAAAUUCGUAGAUAUCGGGAGGAACACCAGUGGCGAAGGCGGCUCUCUGGUCCGAUACUGACGCUGAGACGCGAAAGCGUGGGGAGCAAACAGGAUUAGAUACCCUGGUAGUCCACGCCGUAAACGAUGGGCACUAGGUGUAGGAGGUAUUGACCCCUUCUGUGCCGAAGCUAACGCAUUAAGUGCCCCGCCUGGGGAUACGGCCGCAAGGCUAAA